Molecule: ribosomal RNA, 422 nt
Filed under: uncultured bacterium
Lineage: Bacteria
Description: bacterial SSU rRNA
Rfam family: Bacterial small subunit ribosomal RNA
Source: RNAcentral
GAAUUUUGGACAAUGGGGGCAACCCUGAUCCAGCCAUCCCGCGUGUGCGAUGCAGGCCUUCGGGUUGUAAAGCACUUUUGGCAGGGAAGAAAAGGCUCUGGCUAAUACCUGGAGCUGCUGACGGUACCUGCAGAAUCAGCACCGGCUAACUACGGCCCAGCCUGCGCGGUAAUACGUAGGGUGCAAGCGUUAAUCGGAAUUACUGGGCGUAAAGCGUGCGCAGGCGGUUCGGCAAGAAUGAUGUGAAAUCCCAGGGCUUAACCUUGGAACUGCAGUCUUAACUGCCGGGCUAGAGUAUGUCAGAGGGGGGUAGAAUUCCGCGUGUAGCAGUGAAAUGCGUAGAGAUGCGGAGGAAUACCGAUGGCGAAGGCAGCCCCCUGGGAUAAUACUGACGCUCAUGCACGAAAGCGUGGGGAGCAAAC